AAUAUUAUUUAUUAAUAUUUCCAGCCAAAUUUAUCUUAAAAAAGUUGACAUGAAUAAGGGAAGUUAUUUUUUUAAUAAGAAAAUAUGUCAUAUUAUCAUAAAUUUUUCAAUAUUCUCCCUUUCCAUUUGUUCUCUUUCCUCCCUCUUACCCGCAUACUCUUUCCUCCCCCUUAGCAUAGAUUUAAUUAAAAUCCUCUAAGAAAUAAAUAGUUGACAAGAGAAGCUCUAAUGUAGACCCUAUCCAGUCUCUUUGACAUUACUCCAUGACUCCAAAACCCAUAGCGCAUGGUUGAGAGUUAUUA
RNAcentral lists this unclassified non-coding RNA (302 nucleotides) under Hevea brasiliensis (rubber tree). The record is from RNAcentral. Lineage: Eukaryota; Viridiplantae; Streptophyta; Magnoliopsida; Malpighiales; Euphorbiaceae.